Molecule: long non-coding RNA, 700 nt
Filed under: Apteryx owenii (little spotted kiwi)
Lineage: Eukaryota; Metazoa; Chordata; Aves; Apterygiformes; Apterygidae
Description: lncRNA (ENSAOWG00000009744.1)
Source: RNAcentral
UGUUUAUGUGCUUUUUUCUAAAUUAUUGUAGCUAAUUGCUUCUGUAGGGUUAUGGAUGAGAUCAUUUUCCUGAAUUAGAGAUCUGUGUAUGAACUACUAUUCUGAUUAAAUAUUUUCAGGACACCUUUUUUACUGGGAAAGAAUUUGGGAAAUGGUGUUGGGAUGAAUGACUAAAAUCAGAAUCUCUUCUUACACUUGUGAAAUGCGCUUGCRAGCAUUUGUCAGUAUCUCAAUUGGUUUACAUUUGUGGUGUUUUUUUUCUUCCUUUUUCAUUUAGGUGAGAGUUCAACUACUUCUGAUAAAGCAGCAUUCAGAAACAUAAUUGAUGAGAGGCUUACAUAAGGUUUGUUUCCUGAUUUCAUAAUUGGCAAAGCUGAGAUAGUGAAUCCUGACUGUUGAAGGGUGCAAGGUGUGAAUCUGUGCUCACGCAGUAUUUGAAUGACUGGGUGAAUAUUUGGAAGGACUUCUGAAUUAUUUUGGCUGCAACAGAACUCCUCACUGGAUGAUGUACUCUUGUAAUUGAUCAUAGCAACUGCAUAAACUACACAAGCAAAUAGAACAUGUAUGCCCAGGAUUUAAUCUGGAGGUUCAUAGCUAGACAGAUCUGUACAAAUGGCGUUAUGUUCAGGUAUCCUGGAUUAUCAUUUUUGUUUGUGAUUUCUUCUGAAAAUUUAAAGAGAAGAUUUUUUUUGAUGGUGUA